GCUCGAGUGGUGGAAUCGGUAGACACGCCGGACUUAAAAUCCUGUGCCCUUUUGGGCGUGCGGGUUCAAGUCCCGCCUCGAGUA
Molecule: transfer RNA, 84 nt
Filed under: Crocinitomicaceae bacterium
Lineage: Bacteria; Pseudomonadati; Bacteroidota; Flavobacteriia; Flavobacteriales; Crocinitomicaceae
Also listed under: 2 other names
Description: tRNA-Leu
Rfam family: tRNA
About the family: Transfer RNA (tRNA) molecules are approximately 80 nucleotides in length. Their secondary structure includes four short double-helical elements and three loops (D, anti-codon, and T loops). Further hydrogen bonds mediate the characteristic L-shaped molecular structure. tRNAs have two regions of fundamental functional importance: the anti-codon, which is responsible for specific mRNA codon recognition, and the 3' end, to which the tRNAs corresponding amino acid is attached (by aminoacyl-tRNA synthetases). tRNAs cope with the degeneracy of the genetic code in two manners: having more than one tRNA (with a specific anti-codon) for a particular amino acid; and 'wobble' base-pairing, i.e. permitting non-standard base-pairing at the 3rd anti-codon position.
Source: RNAcentral